Macaca mulatta (Rhesus monkey) is the source of this 790-nucleotide long non-coding RNA. RefSeq lists it as uncharacterized. NCBI's taxonomy places the organism in Eukaryota, Metazoa, Chordata, Mammalia, Primates, Cercopithecidae. The record is from RefSeq and is a predicted model, not a curated record.
UCACAGGAGAAGGAGAGCAGACUGGAGAACUGGAUGCCAACUAAAUGCUUCCAAAUGAGAUACACAGAGGAGAACCACACAAGGAAGAGGGGAAGGCCAGGUAAAGAUGGACGCAGAGAUUAAAGCUAUGUAUCCACAGAAAGCAAUGCCUGGAGCCAGCAGACACUAGAAGAAACAAAGAAGGGUUCAUCCUUAGACCUUUCAAAUAGAACACAGAUCUGCCAACACUCUGAGUUGGACUUCUGGCCUUCACAACUGAAAAGGCUACACGGAGGGGAUCCAUCCUGGUGCCAAGCUGUACUCAACCAGGGGAAUAAAGUUUCACAGUUUACUUUUUAGAGACCUUGUGAAUUAUCCUGUUGGGCUCAUGUAAUUGCAAGUGUCCUUAAAAGACGAAAGAAGGAGGCAGAAGCCAAGACUUGGAGAGAUAUUUGAAGAUGGUCCACCGCUGGCUUUGAAGAUGGUGAAAGUAGGUAUGAGCCAAGGUCUUUAGAGUCUGGAAAAGGUCAGAAAAUAGAUUCUCUCCUAGAGCCCUCAAAAGAGACACCUCUGUCUGACACCUUUAUUAGGCUCACCAAGAUAGAUUUUGGAAUUCUGACCUCCAGAAGUGAAAGAGAAUACAUUUCUAUUUUUUUGAAAGGAUUAAAUGUAGGAUAAUUUGUUACAACAUUAUAGGAAACUGAUAUAAUAACUUAUCUAUGACUACCAGAAAUUGAAAUAUGAUACGUAAUUUCUUUUUUUUUUCUUUUUCUUUUUCUUUUUUUUUUUUUUUGAGAUGGACUCUCGCUCU